AGUGAACGCUGGCGGUAGGCCUAACACAUGCAAGUCGAACGGCAGCACAGUAAGAGCUUGCUCUUACGGGUGGCGAGUGGCGGACGGGUGAUGAAUACAUCGGAAUCUACUUUUUCGUGGGGGAUAACGUAGGGAAACUUACGCUAAUACCGCAUACGACCUACGGGUGAAAGCAGGGGAUCUUCGGACCUUGCGCGAUUGAAUGAGCCGAUGUCGGAUUAGCUAGUUGGCGGGGUAAAGGCCCACCAAGGCGACGAUCCGUAGCUGGUCUGAGAGGAUGAUCAGGCACACUGGAACUGAGACACGGUCCAGACUCCUACGGGAGGCAGCAGUGGGGAAUAUUGGACAAUGGGCGCAAGCCUGAUCCAGCCAUACCGCGUGGGUGAAGAAGGCCUUCGGGUUGUAAAGCCCUUUUGUUGGGAAAGAAAAGCAGCAGGUUAAUACCCCGCUGUUCUGACGGUACCCAAAGAAUAAGCACCGGCUAACUUCGUG
Molecule: ribosomal RNA, 492 nt
Filed under: uncultured bacterium
Lineage: Bacteria
Description: partial 16S ribosomal RNA
Rfam family: Bacterial small subunit ribosomal RNA
Source: RNAcentral